This 1380-nucleotide ribosomal RNA is filed under the name bacterium S410. Its description in RNAcentral is "bacterial SSU rRNA". It matches the Rfam family "Bacterial small subunit ribosomal RNA". The record is from RNAcentral.
CCGAGCGGUAGAGAUCUUUCGGGAUCUUGAGAGCGGCGUACGGGUGCGGAACACGUGUGCAACCUGCCUUUAUCUGGGGGAUAGCCUUUCGAAAGGAAGAUUAAUACCCCAUAAUAUACUGAAUGGCAUCAUUCGGUAUUGAAAACUCCGGUGGAUAGAGAUGGGCACGCGCAAGAUUAGAUAGUUGGUGAGGUAACGGCUCACCAAGUCUACGAUCUUUAGGGGGCCUGAGAGGGUGAUCCCCCACACUGGUACUGAGACACGGACCAGACUACUACGGGAGGCAGCAGUGAGGAAUAUUGGACAAUGGGUGAGAGCCUGAUCCAGCCAUCCCGCGUGAAGGACGACGGCCCUAUGGGUUGUAAACUUCUUUUGUAUAGGGAUAAACCUACCCUCGUGAGGGUAGCUGAAGGUACUAUACGAAUAAGCACCGGCUAACUCCGUGCCAGCAGCCGCGGUAAUACGGAGGGUGCAAGCGUUAUCCGGAUUUAUUGGGUUUAAAGGGUCCGUAGGCGGAUCUGUAAGUCAGUGGUGAAAUCUCACAGCUUAACUGUGAAACUGCCAUUGAUACUGCAGGUCUUGAGUGUUGUUGAAGUAGCUGGAAUAAGUAGUGUAGCGGUGAAAUGCAUAGAUAUUACUUAGAACACCAAUUGCGAAGGCAGGUUACUAAGCAACAACUGACGCUGAUGGACGAAAGCGUGGGGAGCGAACAGGAUUAGAUACCCUGGUAGUCCACGCCGUAAACGAUGCUAACUCGUUUUUGGAAUGUAAGUUUCAGAGACUAAGCGAAAGUGAUAAGUUAGCCACCUGGGGAGUACGAACGCAAGUUUGAAACUCAAAGGAAUUGACGGGGGCCCGCACAAGCGGUGGAUUAUGUGGUUUAAUUCGAUGAUACGCGAGGAACCUUACCAAGGCUUAAAUGGGAAAUGACAGGUUUAGAAAUAGACUUUUCUUCGGACAUUUUUCAAGGUGCUGCAUGGUUGUCGUCAGCUCGUGCCGUGAGGUGUUAGGUUAAGUCCUGCAACGAGCGCAACCCCUGUCACUAGUUGCCAUCAUUAAGUUGGGGACUCUAGUGAGACUGCCUACGCAAGUAGAGAGGAAGGUGGGGAUGACGUCAAAUCAUCACGGCCCUUACGCCUUGGGCCACACACGUAAUACAAUGGCCGGUACAGAGGGCAGCUACACUGCGAAGUGAUGCAAAUCUCGAAAGCCGGUCUCAGUUCGGAUUGGAGUCUGCAACUCGACUCUAUGAAGCUGGAAUCGCUAGUAAUCGCGCAUCAGCCAUGGCGCGGUGAAUACGUUCCCGGGCCUUGUACACACCGCCCGUCAAGCCAUGGAAGUCUGGGGUACCUGAAGUCGGUGACCGUAACAGGAGCUGCC